UACGUAGGGCGCAAGCGUUGUCCGGAAUUAUUGGGCGUAAAGAGCUUGUAGGCGGUUUGUCACGUCGGGAGUGAAAACUCAGGGCUCAACCCUGAGCCUGCUUCCGAUACGGGCAGACUUGAGGAAGGUAGGGGAGAAUGGAAUUCCUGGUGAAGCGGUGGAAUGCGUAGAUAUCAGGAGGAACACCAGUGGCGAAGGCGGUUCUCUGGACCUUUCCUGACGCUGAGAAGCGAAAGCGUGGGGAGCAAACAGG
This 253-nucleotide ribosomal RNA is filed under the name uncultured bacterium. RNAcentral describes it as "partial 16S ribosomal RNA". It matches the Rfam family "Bacterial small subunit ribosomal RNA", at positions 524 to 776 of the family's 1533-position model. RNAcentral also lists the same sequence under 1 other name. The record is from RNAcentral.